Molecule: non-coding RNA, 25 nt
Filed under: Cricetulus griseus (Chinese hamster)
Lineage: Eukaryota; Metazoa; Chordata; Mammalia; Rodentia; Cricetidae
Source: RNAcentral
AAGAGUACAGUUGCUGUAGAGGCCU